This 2849-nucleotide long non-coding RNA is filed under the name Homo sapiens (human). RNAcentral's name for it is "non-protein coding lnc-NUPR2-11:1". The record is from RNAcentral. Lineage: Eukaryota; Metazoa; Chordata; Mammalia; Primates; Hominidae.
CGUGAGCCCCUUGCCUCACACCGGCCCCUCUCACGCCGAGAGAGGUCAGCGUGAGCCCCUUGCCUCACACCGGCCCCUCCCACGCCGAGAGAGGUCAGCGUGAGCCCUUGCCUCACACCGGCCCCUCCCACGCCGAGAGAGGUCAGCGUGAGCCCCUGCCUCAACAGGCCACCGUGAGGGAGGAGCAGGGCCGUACGCAGGCUGCCGGGAGCAGGCAGGGACUUGGCCGCGGGAGGCCGUGGUGGGGCGAGAGCUGGGCCUGGAGACGCCCCUGGGAGGCAACAGCGGGGCCUGCUGACGCUCUUCUGCUGCCAGAGCUGGGACUGUACAGGCCACCGGGAGGCAGGAUGUGGGCCUGAAGAGCUUGGCUGCAGAAACUUCGGGGUCUACAAACGCUGGAGGGAGCUGAGCCAAAAGAGCUUGCCUGCUGGGAGGCAGGAGCUGGGCCGAGAGAUGCAGCCAGGAGGAACAGCUGGGCCUGCAGAGGCCGCCAUGAGGGAGGCAGAGGCCGGGCCUCCUCAAGUCGGCCUCUCCAGACCCACAUGCAGCCUCCCGGCGUCCUCUCCGGGCCCAGCUCUUCCUCCCGGCUGCGUCUCCAGGCCCGACUGCUGCCUCCCAACAACCUCUUUGGACUCAGCGCCUGCCCAUCUCCUGGCGGCCUUGGUCGGCCCACAGCUUCCUCAAGCCAAGCUCCCCAGGCCCAGGUCAGGCCUCACGGUGGCCUCUCCAGGAUCAGCUCCUGCCCUCCGAUGGCGUCUCCAGGCCCCAAACGGUCUCCGGUCGGUGGGCUCCUCCGCGCCCAGCUUGGGCCUCCUGGCGACCUCUGCAGGCCCAAGUCGUCCUGAAGUCGGCGUCUCCCGGCCCUGCCUCCCAGCAAGUAAGCAAGCUCUUUGGGCUCAACUCCUGCCCAGCUCAAAACCGCCUUUGUAGGCCCCGAACUUUCUCGAGCCAAGCUCUUCGCGCCCGCCUACUGCCUCUCGGUGGCCUGUACAGGCCCAGCUCUGGCGGUAGAACAGCCUCUGCAGGUCCCGCUCUUGCCUCCCAGGGGCCUCUCCAGGCCCAGCUCUCGCCCCCACGGCGGCCUCCCGGCAGCCCGCGUGCGGCCCAGUGCCUCCCUCACGGUGGCCUGUUGAUGCCCAACUCAUGCCGCUGGCACCCUGCGCAGAGGCGUGAGUCCCUGCCUCACACUGGCUCCUCCCACGCUGAGAGAGGUCGGCGUGAGCCCCUUGCCUCACACCGGCCCCUCCCACACUGACCCCUUGGCUCACACCGGCCCCUCCCACGCAGAGAGAGGUCAGCGUGAGCCCCUUGCCUCACACCGGCCCCUCUCACGCCGAGAGAGGUCAGCGUGAGCCCCUUGCCUCACACCGGCCCCUCCCACGCCGAGAGAGGUCAGCGUGAGCCCUUGCCUCACACCGGCCCCUCCCACGCCGAGAGAGGUCAGCGUGAGCCCCUGCCUCAACAGGCCACCGUGAGGGAGGAGCAGGGCCGUACGCAGGCUGCCGGGAGCAGGCAGGGACUUGGCCGCGGGAGGCCGUGGUGGGGCGAGAGCUGGGCCUGGAGACGCCCCUGGGAGGCAACAGCGGGGCCUGCUGACGCUCUUCUGCUGCCAGAGCUGGGACUGUACAGGCCACCGGGAGGCAGGAUGUGGGCCUGAAGAGCUUGGCUGCAGAAACUUCGGGGUCUACAAACGCUGGAGGGAGCUGAGCCAAAAGAGCUUGCCUGCUGGGAGGCAGGAGCUGGGCCGAGAGAUGCAGCCAGGAGGAACAGCUGGGCCUGCAGAGGCCGCCAUGAGGGAGGCAGAGGCCGGGCCUCCUCAAGUCGGCCUCUCCAGACCCACAUGCAGCCUCCCGGCGUCCUCUCCGGGCCCAGCUCUUCCUCCCGGCUGCGUCUCCAGGCCCGACUGCUGCCUCCCAACAACCUCUUUGGACUCAGCGCCUGCCCAUCUCCUGGCGGCCUUGGUCGGCCCACAGCUUCCUCAAGCCAAGCUCCCCAGGCCCAGGUCAGGCCUCACGGUGGCCUCUCCAGGAUCAGCUCCUGCCCUCCGAUGGCGUCUCCAGGCCCCAAACGGUCUCCGGUCGGUGGGCUCCUCCGCGCCCAGCUUGGGCCUCCUGGCGACCUCUGCAGGCCCAAGUCGUCCUGAAGUCGGCGUCUCCCGGCCCUGCCUCCCAGCAAGUAAGCAAGCUCUUUGGGCUCAACUCCUGCCCAGCUCAAAACCGCCUUUGUAGGCCCCGAACUUUCUCGAGCCAAGCUCUUCGCGCCCGCCUACUGCCUCUCGGUGGCCUGUACAGGCCCAGCUCUGGCGGUAGAACAGCCUCUGCAGGUCCCGCUCUUGCCUCCCAGGGGCCUCUCCAGGCCCAGCUCUCGCCCCCACGGCGGCCUCCCGGCAGCCCGCGUGCGGCCCAGUUCCUCCCUCACGGUGGCCUGUUGAUGCCCAACUCAUGCCGCUGGCACCCUGCGCAGAGGCGUGAGUCCCUGCCUCACACUGGCUCCUCCCACGCUGAGAGAGGUCGGCGUGAGCCCCUUGCCUCACACCGGCCCCUCCCACACUGACCCCUUGGCUCACACCGGCCCCUCCCACGCAGAGAGAGGUCAGCGUGAGCCCCUUGCCUCACACCGGCCCCUCUCACGCCGAGAGAGGUCAGCGUGAGCCCCUUGCCUCACACUGGCCCCUCCCACGCCGAGAGAGGUCAGCGUGAGCCCCUGCCUCAACAGGCCACCGUGAGGGAGAAGCAGGGCCGUACGCAGGCUGCCGGGAGCAGGCAGGGACUUGGCCGCGGGAGGCCGUGGUGGGGCGAGAGCUGGGCCUGGAGACGCCCCUGGGAGGCAACAGCGGGGCCUGCUGACGC